Molecule: ribosomal RNA, 792 nt
Filed under: uncultured bacterium
Lineage: Bacteria
Description: bacterial SSU rRNA
Rfam family: Bacterial small subunit ribosomal RNA
Source: RNAcentral
AGAGUUUGAUCCUGGCUCAGAACGAACGCUGGCGGCGUGCUUAACACAUGCAAGUCGCGUGCGCAGUUGCCGUAGCAAUACGGUGAUGGGCGCACGGCGCACGGGUGCGUAACACGUGGGCAAUCUGCCCUUUGAUGGGGAAUAACCCGCCGAAAGGCGGGCUAAUUCCGCAUAAGAUUCCCGGAACUUCGGUUCUGGGAUUGAAAGCAGCAAUGCGUCGAAGGAGGAGCCCGCGCCCGAUUAGCUAGUUGGUGAGGUAACGGCUCACCAAGGCUAUGAUCGGUAGCUGGUCUGAGAGGAUGAUCAGCCACACUGGAACUGAGACACGGUCCAGACUCCUACGGGAGGCAGCAGUGGGGAAUCUUGCACAAUGGGCGAAAGCCUGAUGCAGCGACGCCGCGUGGGGGAUGAAGCAUUUCGGUGUGUAAACCCCUUUCGACUGGGAAGAAUACCUCGCAAGAGGGGUGACGGUACCAGUAGAAGAAGCCCCGGCUAACUACGUGCCAGCAGCCGCGGUAAGACGUAGGGGGCCAGCGUUGUUCGGAAUUACUGGGUGUAAAGGGUUCGUAGGCGGUGCGGCAAGUUGGGAGUGAAAUCUCUGGGCUUAACCCAGAGGCUGCUUCCAAAACUGCUGUGCUCGAGUGUGAGAGAGGCUCGUGGAAUUGCAGGUGUAGCGGUGAAAUGCGUAGAUAUCUGCAGGAACACCCGUGGCGAAAGCGGCGAGCUGGAUCACUACUGACGCUGAGGAACGAAAGCUAGGGGAGCAAACAGGAUUAGAUACCCUAGUAGUCC